UGUCGAAUAUAUUCAUAUUCUUCACAACAAUGAAACUCUUAGAAAUUGUAGUAAUCAUGAAAAUCAACGCUUUUAUUUUGUGUUUCCUUUGUGGAUUGUUUCUUUUAUCUGUUGUGGCAAGUGAGACAUCCAAAGAAGGUUAUGCAAAAGACUCAAAGAAAAAUGUUUGGGUAGAUAAGCUUGAUGGUACCCAAAGAACCAAGGAUAUAAAACCUUUUG
Non-coding RNA from Cicer arietinum (chickpea), 219 nucleotides. NCBI's taxonomy places the organism in Eukaryota, Viridiplantae, Streptophyta, Magnoliopsida, Fabales, Fabaceae. The record is from RefSeq and is a predicted model, not a curated record.